This 702-nucleotide ribosomal RNA is filed under the name uncultured Bacilli bacterium. RNAcentral's name for it is "bacterial SSU rRNA". It matches the Rfam family "Bacterial small subunit ribosomal RNA", at positions 47 to 734 of the family's 1533-position model. The record is from RNAcentral. Lineage: Bacteria; Bacillati; Bacillota; Bacilli.
CCUAAUACAUGCAAGUAGAACGCUGAAGGAGAAGCUUGCUUCUCUGGAUGAGUUGCGAACGGGUGAGUAACGCGUAGGUAACCUGCCUGGUAGCGGGGGAUAACUAUUGGAAACGAUAGCUAAUACCGCAUAACAGUAGAUGUUGCAUGACAUUUGCUUAAAAGGUGCAAUUGCAUCACUACCAGAUGGACCUGCGUUGUAUUAGCUAGUUGGUGGGGUAACGGCUCACCAAGGCGACGAUACAUAGCCGACCUGAGAGGGUGAUCGGCCACACUGGGACUGAGACACGGCCCAGACUCCUACGGGAGGCAGCAGUAGGGAAUCUUCGGCAAUGGACGGAAGUCUGACCGAGCAACGCCGCGUGAGUGAAGAAGGUUUUCGGAUCGUAAAGCUCUGUUGUAAGAGAAGAACGAGUGUGAGAGUGGAAAGUUCACACUGUGACGGUAUCUUACCAGAAAGGGACGGCUAACUACGUGCCAGCAGCCGCGGUAAUACGCAGGUCCCGAGCGUUGUCCGGAUUUAUUGGGCGUAAAGCGAGCGCAGGCGGUUAGAUAAGUCUGAAGUUAAAGGCUGUGGCUUAACCAUAGUACGCUUUGGAAACUGUUUAACUUGAGUGCAAGAGGGGAGAGUGGAAUUCCAUGUGUAGCGGUGAAAUGCGUAGAUAUAUGGAGGAACACCGGUGGCGAAAGCGGCUCUCUGGCU